AUCGCUUCUCGGCCUUUUGGCUAAGAUCAAGUGUAAUACAGGAAGAUGCCCGGAACUGCUUGAAAAUGCCUCUGAAAUUCUCUAUUGCUGUUUUCCAGUAUUAAUACAGAUAAUUUAAUAUGAGUUCUCUUGAAAUUCAGGAUUUUUCCCAUCAAUUUAUAGAUUGGUAACACUAGUUUGUACUCCCUGCUGGAAUCUUUCCUACACCUC
Heterocephalus glaber (naked mole-rat) is the source of this 210-nucleotide small nuclear RNA. Its record names the gene U2. It matches the Rfam family "U2 spliceosomal RNA". Rfam says of the family: U2 is a small nuclear RNA (snRNA) component of the spliceosome (involved in pre-mRNA splicing). Complementary binding between U2 snRNA (in an area lying towards the 5' end but 3' to hairpin I) and the branchpoint sequence (BPS) of the intron results the bulging out of an unpaired adenosine, on the BPS, which initiates a nucleophilic attack at the intronic 5' splice site, thus starting the first of two transesterification reactions that mediate splicing. NCBI's taxonomy places the organism in Eukaryota, Metazoa, Chordata, Mammalia, Rodentia, Bathyergidae. The record is from Ensembl.